RNAcentral lists this long non-coding RNA (12342 nucleotides) under Setaria italica (foxtail millet). RNAcentral describes it as "long non-coding RNA (SITA_LNC006204)". Lineage: Eukaryota; Viridiplantae; Streptophyta; Magnoliopsida; Poales; Poaceae. The record is from RNAcentral.
CAAUCCAUUAGGAAGUUGCGCGCAGCAAGCGUAGUCAUCUAGUGCUAACCGCCUUAAGCUCCCAAAGGCUGACAUGGUUCUCAUCCACUGCGGUAGCCCGCGUGCAAAGUAGCCAAUGAUAUCAAGUAGUUCCAUGCAAGGUGGAGGACACAGAUUAUCCAGGAUGUCCUCUGUUCUCCUGUGUUCCUCCUCGCUAAUGUUGCCUUCGACCUCUCCAUUGUCUCCUAGCCUGCUGGUAAAUAUCAAGUUUAAGUUUGUCAAGUGAUGUUUACUGCUAAGGUUUGCUUUAGCAGCCAUAGAACCGGAUGAUGCCUUCUCCAGACAACUUAUUUCAAGGCUUUGGAGCUUCGACAGAGGUCUGAGUUCUUCUAAGCUGCACCAGCCACCCGUGCCCUCAUCUGAAUAAUGUGUCGGAAACCCCCUUAUUCUGACCAAAUCUUCUAGUUUUCCCAAGCCACGAGGAAUUGAAGUGAUUGCCGUGUCGCUCAAGUCGAGUGACCUUAGUUUCCGUAGCUUCAAAAUGCUGGUAGGAAGUUGAGAAACAUUUGUACACUUUGCAAGUUCAAGGGCUUGAAGAAAUUUUAGGUUACCUAUAUCUCGUGGUAUCGUGGAUAUGCUUGCGUUAUCAAUACACAAGUGUCUCAAAUGUUUGAGGUGGCAUAUGGAGUCUGGAAGCUCAACUGGAUCUACAUCUACUAGAUGUAGUACUCUGAGGCAAGAAGUAUUGUUCAACAGAUUCUUCAGCUCAACAGUGGUGCUGCUUCCGAAUAACAUUAAUGUUCUAAGCAAGGCUUGUUUUUGCAAAGUGCCAUGCCCUACUGCCUUGUUUGAGAUAGAUAGGUGCCGAAGCUUUGCAGUGCUAAGAGUUCUAUUGGCAUCCAGCCCAUCACUAAUAAGUAUCCCUUCAUCUUUAAUUAUAUACUGAGCGAAGGAACGGACAACAUCGUGCAUGCUGCAUGCUUGUAUACCAUAGUAACUUUUGUCUGGUUCUAGAAGAUUUCUUGAAACCAAUUCAUUGUAGUAUUCUUCCCCCAACUUUUCUGGUGCCUUAUAGCUCAUCUUGUUGUGUACAUGACCUGCUGCUAUCCAAUGCUGGACUAUUGCUUCUCUAAUUAUUAAUUUAUCUUUAGGGAUUAGUGAACAAUACACAAAACAUUGCUUCAAGUGUGAGGGCAAGUCUUCAUAACUCAAAUAGACCGCUUUAUUAAUAUCUUCGUCGAUUCCUGUUGUUGACCAAGUGUCGUGACUACUGACAUCCAUCCAGUCAUGUCUUGUUCUACUUUUGCGGCGCAAGAGUCCUCCAAGGAUCUUAACUGCUAACGGCAAGCAGUCACAUCUUUUAACAAUUUCCAUCCCAAUACUCUUCAAUUCAUCGACAUCGGCUUCAUCAGUCUCAUUCAAAACUACCUAGUAUUUGAAAAAAAUGCAGCAAGUUUGAGAGAGGAAAUGGUGCUAGAAUCGAAAAGCUCCCGUGCAAUGGAUUUUAUGUUGUAUCAUAACUUUGCAGGGGUUGUUUGUAGGGAAAAAAUUGAAGUGAGUUCAAUAGAUUCUAGACACUAGAUAACCAAGGCUAUUCCCAGUGGAGAAUUUCAUAUUACGGUUUUCAAGAGUGGCAUGUCAUCGAAAGAUGUUUGAGUGGAUGUAUGAAACAUGUUCUCCCCAUGGAGAGUUUCAUUUUGCGAUUUCAUAGGCUGGACAUAACGUUUAAUUGCAAGGUAUGUAAUUGCAAGGUAUGUGAUUGGAUGUUAUGAGAUGAUAUGAAACUCUCUAAUGCCCAAUGCUAGUUUCAUCAGGUUUUGUAGUAAUGGAAACAAUGUAUACAGGGUUUCAUCAGGAUGAAACUCCUUCCCUCUCUCUCUUUGGCUAUUUAUACCCUCUCUACUCGCCCGUUGGAGUUGUUAGAUGAAGCUAGAGUGUGCAAAAGUACAUUGGAGAUUAAGACUCAUCAAGAACACAUCUGAGCCACCAAAAGUGCAUAAGUGAUUAAUCAAAGGCUUAGCACAAGCUUAAAAGACUAUUUAGUGCUAGGAUAGGUCAAGAGAAGAGACAAUGCAAGGUGUGCCUACCUUGUGAUCGAUUCUAGGAGUGAACCACAACUAUACAAGGUGUGCCGGCGUCUUGGAGCCUUGGUGGCUCGCCGGCAAGUCUUUGACCCUCCGACUUGGUGUGGAGCAGCGUUGACGACCGUGUGCGGGGGACAUGGAGAUCCGCUUCCUUCGUGGAAAAACUUCUUAGUGGAGAUGGUAUCAAAGUGAUCGGGGAACUUGACGUGAGUCUUAGUGGCCGAGCCUUUAUGGCAAAUCAAGGGGUGUCCCGGGAGAGACUUGGUGACCGGAAAGCAAUACUCUUGUGUGAGUGCUUCAACAACGUGGACUAGUGGUGGCUUAGUGCCUACUCAUGCCACGUGAUAAAUUAUCGUGUCAAGAAUUUCCUUCCCCUCAUCCUCUCUUUUACGUUUCCACAUUUCAUACAUGCAAUCUUUGUGCAUUUAUUUUCUUAGUGUAGUAUCUUGCUAGGAUUGGCUCUAGGUUGCAAAACUUAUUUUGGGACGGUGGUUUCACACUAGUUUAAGUUUGAUGUAUAAGAAGUGGAAGUCAUAGGUUAAGGUUUUGAGUUGUGUAAUUCACCCCCUCCCCCUCUUAGGCUACGAGCACCGAUUCUUUACGCUAAACAAAACUUCCCUCAACGUCAAUAGGAUAUGCUCAAUAAAAUAUAACCAUGAGACACGUUUUGCUAAGCCAAGAGGUUAAGAAAGUAUGAUAAAAGACUCCUAGUCAAAUUACAUGGUCCUUUGCAUAAUCAAAUCGGACGAGAGCGACAAGAGAAAUAAUGAGCAAAAUGGGCUGUCGUGAAUUACUCCAAGGGAGAGAAAGUAAUUAAGAAGAGAUAAAAAUUGUUAUUGUAAAUUCAAAUUACUACAGAAAUAAUUACUAUAAUGAAUAAAAGUUAUUACUUACCUGGUUCUUUAGCAAAAUCCAAGCAUCUUCCGUGGUUAGCUUGUCAACUCGAUGGAGAUGUUGAGCUUUCAUCCCAUGAGCAAUUCCAUCAUUUCUUGUGGUCACCAAAACUCGACUGCCAGAAGCAUUAGCACCAUGACUGAGCGGCUCUCUAAGCAGCGCAUACCACACAUUUUCAUUCCACACAUCAUCCAUCACCAACAAAAACUUCUUCUUUUGCCGGAUCGUAUCAUUCAGGGCACGCUGAAGUAGGUCCUUGUUUCCCGCACAACCUUCAUGUUUGGCACCAAAAGAAGCUAUAAGACUUUGUAGGACAUUGAUCUCAUCGAACUCACGGUUAACGCUCAACCAGAUCCUUUCCUCGAAGUUUUCCCCCACCCUACUAUCAGCGAAGACCAUCUUAGCCAGAGUGGUUUUGCCGAUCCCACCUAUGCCUGUGAUAGCAGCAGCAACAACCACAUCAUUAUUGGCCCUUGAUCCUGCAGGAGCAUCCACCUUCUUGAUGAGUAGAUCAACAAUUUUCUUCGUGUCAUCCUCAAUCUUCUCGCCGACAACAUCAGACCGGAUAAAAACCGAUCCAGUUUCGUCGGACAAAGAAUUGGAAGCUUUGUUGAUUGAAUCAGCUGAGGCAUGGAUGGCUUGGGUGAUGGAUAUGAAACGGGAGCUCCUCUUUGCCAGGUCUUCCAGUCGCUGGUUGAUCGCUUGGAUCUUCGUUCCGAUCUCAUGUGCCACAACAGGGUUGCGGAAGCAAAAGAACAUCUUGGGGAUGUCCCAGAACCUUGAGGUGGUUUUCGGAGCAGAUGUUGGUGCGGGAGGAUCUUCUUCUCCGCCGUCCAUGAGCUGGCAGAGGUCAAGGACGUCGUCGGCGUCGUACAUGACGUCCUUGAGCUCCCUCACCCAACCCUCCGUAGCCUUGUCGCGGAUGCGCUUCCUCUCCGCAUCACCCAAGAUGUGGCUCAGGUCACGGAGCGUGGUCUCGAGCUUGGUGACCUCGCCCGGCACGCCGAGGAGCAUCUCCACCUCCUCCUUCACCAUGCCUGCCAGGAUGCCCACAAGCUUGGACGCGAACUCGUCCAGCAGCGCCGCCAUGGUCGGGGAGCAGGGGAGCAAAAGGAAGAUGACUGGGUUUCAGAUAUGUGUGGGGGUUCUGGUGUGAUUUUGGGAGACGCUUUAUAGAGAAGGUAGCUAAGGCCUGGCCGGUCGAUGGAAAAUCACGGAUGGGCAGAUGAGAUGGCGAGGCGAACAAGUUCAACGCAUAGGAUGGCACGAGUACGCUACUCCAUACUGUAUUCUAGUGGUCCUCGAUCUGGUGUCAAAUUAACCCGCAGGAGGCAGGAUCGAGCACAUGUACACAUCCAAUGCAGCUUCAACUCUUCUCUCUGUUGCUGGCUCCGCACCUAACGGAUCAGCCACGAGCAAAUGCCAGCUACCAGUGCACCAUUGGAACUACUAAUAGCAUGGUAUUAACAAAUCAGGUCUAAGGUCCACAUGGUUACGCCAGAACAUCGGUUGCUGUUUACUAGCCUUGGCUUGGUCAAAUUUUGGCCACCGCAUUGGCAGCCAACUACUACUAGUUGGGACUUGUUUUUAGAGCCUCCAUUGUAAUCCUUUUGAAAUGCGGUAGAUAAAAACAAUAUAAUUCUCAGAAAGAUUCGUCCAUCAAGUUGAUAGAUUUAAUCAUCAUUGAUUAUCAUCAAUUCGGCCAUGAAUUGGAUAGUAUUUCAAUGACGGUUAUCGUUUACCGAGACAUUACUGUUUUUUUCUAAGAAUUUCUACGAUAUAUUUGUUGUUUUAUCGCGAUCUUAACUUAUAAGGAUUAACGCUCUAAAAAAGCCUCUAAUUAGUAAUGGUCGUUUCAUGUGCUACCAAAUUUCAAAUUCCCUAUAACCUUCUUCUUUAGACUCUGAAUCUCUGAUGUGAAAGAGGAGGAGCUCGAACGCUCGAUUGAUCCGGAAGAUUGAAUCUUCAGAAAUUCGAAUGCUCGAAGACUCUUAACCAUGACCUUUUCCUGGUCUCGAGUGCCGGAUGGGUCUCGGAGCACCCGAGACGGCAAGAUCCGUCAAGUUAGGCUCUCGACUGCAUCCACCCAUGUGUUGGCAGAGCACGCUCGUCAGUUGUUUUUUGUUUCCUCUUUAAUUAGCAGCUUCCUAGAUCGAAACAAGUACAAAAAAUUAAAAAUCAUGUGUGGCAGAAGACCACCCGUCGACCGGGAGUCGGUCUCAUCGCAUCGGAGCCGCCGCACCGUACUGGCGGCGACGGUGCACCACUGCCCCAUGAAUGUGCAUGCAAGAGCACGGGAUGGAACCGGCGCGCUUCUGUGGUCGUGAACGAAACCGCCGCAUCUCGUUCUCGCGCUCGUUGAUGUCGCCGCCGAAGUCGAGCGGCGUCGGGGUGCUCGGGGCCCAACGCGCGCACCUGAUGGAGCGAACGGAGUCCGUCCUCGCAAGCCAGCUCAGGCUCGCCGACAAUUCUGUCGGUGUAGCGUGGAUGCUUCGUCGACACUGGGAUAUCGCGUUCGCGUGGCCAUUGUCGCCGCAUGCGGUGGCAGGCUCUUCCCCGGGACCGGCACGAAACUCGGCCGCCCGCCCGGGGUGCUCGAUCGUGUCGUCGGAGCCGCCGCACCCGCGCUCCCACUCGCACCGGCGACGGCCCACCAACGUCGCUUCUGUACAGGAUGGAGCAUGCACGUGGUGAGGUACAGGAGCUCCGAUGGUCGCCAUGCGCAACACGUGCGCCGCCACCGGACACGAUCAAGCACGCGCGCGACGCGAGCCGCCGUCCCGAACCACAGCGCCGCCACGUCCUCCGCCGCUGCUGGUCGAGGUCGCCCCCGCUCUCCGCGGCCCACGACUUGGACGGCGGCAGCACGAGGCGAAGGCGGGACCCAGGGGCACCAUGCGUCACGCGCCGGCUAGCUGCCGGCGAGUCUCCGACGAGCGCCCCUGGCGCCCUCGACGUGUCGAGGCGUGCGCCGGUGGACAAGGCGGUGCUGCACGCUUGUGGCGCCUGGCGAUCGAUGUCGUGGACUCGUGGCGGUGCGACGCUGGCUCCCGGCGAGGCUUCCUUCCUCCACUGGCGUCGUCAAGCAUGGAAGAGCCACCCACUUCUCGCCACGCCAUCCACAUCUGUGGUUCCGCGGACCGCGCGCCAGGCGGCUUGCAGGGCGGACGGCGCGUCGUCGUCGCAGUCGUGGCAUGGAAGAGCUGGGCGGUGGAAGGCACUGCACCGUCUACUCGUGUCCCUGGACACCAGUUCUCGCACGGACGCCGGCAGCCCGGCCCUGAAGCAGGCACCGUGGCCCGUCUGGUCGCGCGCACGCCGCGCUGGCCGCUGACGACGCCAUCGCCAGUCCCUGCACUGGGCACCAGCCGAUGAUGGUGUCGCCUGAUGCCCUUGCCCGGGGUCGGGGGCAUGGAUGGCGUGACGGAGCGAGCGGCAACCAGGGCGCGGAUCAACGCCGACGAAAAGUCAAAGACUUGUGCACGGGAUGCUCUCGGUCUCUGGAGGGAGGAGGGGAUUUCCUGCUGCUGGCGGGCCUGCUGGUUCCUGGUGUAGCCGAACAGUGUCGCCGUUAGUUGCGGUGAGCCUAUGCAAUGCAUGCUCGUGAGUUUGUCGGACGGACGGCGACACCGACACCAUCUUCCACCGGCCGGCCGGCCGGCCUCGAGUCCGUGUGCGUAACCUACCCGGGGUCCUGCUGAUAAGAGUUUUCGAGUGGGCAGUUUUCGUUUUCUCGUGUCUUCAAAUUGCUUUUGGGUAAACUUUAACCAUUUUCAAGUUACAACAGCCGUGACAUGAUUACUAUAUUUUACAUUCGAGACGGAUCCCAGUGAAACAAGGCAAAAAGAACCAGUUGAGGUUCAGCGUUUCGAGAGGGCCAGCCGAAAAAGGUCUCAUUGUCAAACGUGUCUAGUUGAGCCUUGGAGGCCGAAACAGCCCAAAUUAGCGAACGGCGCAAGCGAUAGGGCAAUUAUUAAUCCCACCUCGCUUCUACGAGCCCACCGCGCAUGUGGACGAAGCUAGCUGGGUGCCCACCUCAGUGUUUUCGCUUCAGUGCUUGCAUCACGCUUCAGUGAUUAACUGAAGAGCAAGAAGAAGGGUAUCUUGCCAAUGGAUGCAGGCCGCCGUCUGAGAGCUCUCGUGCUUGGGCUCGGCACGUCGAAAGCGCUAGGUAAGCCGACGUUUAAUUAAAAAGAAAAAACAAGGCUGGGCUUGCUCUUCCUUUGGAAAGCAUACCGGAUCUCUCUUCGAAAGAGGAAAGCAGAUGUAUCUUCAUGGCACGAUGUUUACCCGCUGCAGCGAUGCCUUCUGGCCUGUUUUUUUUUCCUUUUUUUUAAUUAGUUUGCGUCUUGCCUAUCACAUCAACCCGGCAUUUUUUUCUUUUUUCUUUUUAGGGCUGUUUGGAUACUCUCUCCUAAACUUUAGUACUUAUCACAUCGAAUGUUUGGAUACUAUUUAGGAGUAUUAAAUAUAGUCUAAUUAUAAAACUAAUUGCACAGAUGGAGUCUAAUUUGCGAGACGAAUCUAUUAAGCCUAAUUAGUCCAUGAUUUAGCAAUGUGGUGCUACAGUAACCAUUUGCUAAUGAUGGAUUAAUUAGGCUUAAUAGAUUCAUCUCGCGAAUUAGUAUAGGGGUUUUGCAAUUAGUUUUAUAAUUAGCUCAUGUUUAGUCCUCCUAAUUAACGUCCGAACAUUUGAUGUGACCCUCCUAAAGUUUAGCACCUCGUAUCCAAACACCCUCUUAAUUAGUCUGCAUCCUACCUGUCACAUCGACCCGACGUGGAUCAGAUGUAUCCAAACACCCUCUUAAUUAGUCUGCAUCCUACCUGUCACAUCGACCCGACGUGGAUCAGAUGUGCCAUGACUCUGCUGGCCAGGCCAAGCCUAGUGGGAUUGGGAAGCAAGAAGUUAUUCCCUCCAUUCCAAAUUGUAGAUCAUUAUAAUUUUUUUGGAGAGUCAAACUAUUCUUUAUUUGGUCAAAAUUAUAGAGAAGAUUGCAAAGAUUUAUGACCGGAUAAUCACAAACUAUUUAUAAAGAUUACAAACUAUUGAAACUUCGAAGUAUGCCACAAAUUUCAAGCAGUACAUGUUCACAAAAAUCACAUACUUGAUAGUGUUAAAAAUGAUUCUUUUGUUCAGACACCAUAUUUACAUUUACAAAUUAAAUCCAACAAAAUAAAUGUAGUACAUGUAUUUCUCGGUGUACUGGUCUACUGGGCAAGAAAUCCUGGCUGCGUAAUGAAUGACUCGGUGGUUUGGACGCUGCAGUAAUAAUUUCGAGUAAAUUCAAAACCCAAGCACCAAGAAAGGUAACGAGCUCGCUUGAAAAGUGGGGUUUGUUCGUUUUUUUGCGUGCUUACUCGACCGGGUCGUGCGGGGGUUGGACGGUUGGUAAUCCCUCUCCAUUUCUCAUCCUUUUCGUUUAACCCUUAUCGUCGUUUCUAACAAAUCCGACCUUGUGGUUUGAAUAGAUCCGGAUGAUUUUGUACAAGUUCAUCCAAAAUAUGGCCCUCCUUUGGCAAAACUUCGACGUCGGAUCCAGACUCCGUGUAGAAGAAGACGAAUAGGAGGAGACUCUCCUUCUCAUUCCACAAGAGGCUCCCAUGGCCAUGGUCUGUCGCACCGUGUCCAUGGCACAACGUUCCAUGGACACGUCCAUCACGGUGUACUUGGCCACUGUUCCAUCACCGUGUCCAUAGCAGGCUGGACUGGAGGAGAUCGGGUCGAAACCGAAAAUGCAGGCGGUGCUAUCUCCUUCCACACCAGUAGCAGGGAGGAGAUUGGGCUGGAACCGAAGAUAGCAGGCGAUGCUAUCUCCUUCUACACCAGUAGCAGGCCGAACUGGAGGAGAUCGGGUCGGAACUGAAGAUAGUUGGCCGUGCUAUCUCCUCCUACACCAGUAGCAGGCCAUACUGGAGGAGAUUGGGCCAGAAGUGAAGAUAGCAGGCCGGCCGACGCUCAGUUGAGUUGUAUAUCCACCCCGACGCUGCCUCCAACGCCUCCACCUUCUCUCGCUCUAUUCCCUCCCUCGACCUCGCCGCCGCCACACCGCCGGAUCAAGCCAUGGAAGCCUCCUCGUCUUCGGAGGACGAGAUGCUGAUGUUCGGCUACAACGUCCCUAGGGAUGUCCCCGAAGUGGUAAGUUCCCCCCCAUCCACCUCUCAACCGCGCCACCCCCCACACCAACCCACCCACCUGCCUCCAGCGGCUGUGGCGGCCGCUUUGUGUUCCAACACUAGAGGCAAUCUAGCUCGUGGCCGCAGAAGUCGGUGAUGCUGUCGUGGCUCGAUCUGGAGCGCGAGGAAUGGCAUCCGGGUGUCGGCAGAAGUCGGGUGCUUGGUCGACGGGGUGACCGGCAGCCCGUCCAUUCUCGGUACUUCGAACUCGGGCCACUCGGCAAGCCGGAACUCCAUGGAGCCGCGGUGAAGGCCGCUGAUGAAGCCGUGUCAGCGCCCAGCCCUGCAGGCCGCUGAACCUCCUUGUCCACCGACUCUUGGUACGCUCGAGUCACGCAGUCCCACUGCCCAGAGUGCCCUUGGCCCUGGCAGCCGUCAGAUCCGGCGCGUAUGGCACGGAUUCUAACGUCCGAUUUUGACCUGGUCGCUUCGUUUCUCUGCGUCAAGCGCAUUCCCAAGGACGACGUGUGGUGUUGACGGCGGACGCCCGGGCGGGCAUCGUCGGCACCGCCGCCACCAGUGGACACCCGCGCGCAGACGCAACCAACUGAGCGGCCUCUUGCUGGACUCACAGCGCACGCAGUAUGCUAUUCUGCACGUCGUCUUGCGGCAACAAGACCCCGCGCGCGCGGCGUUUGAGGCUGGCUCGACGGUGAAGUGUCAGUCAGCGAAUCAUGCUCUGCUUAUACACUACUACUACGCAGUGGAAAGUGGCGGACGCGCGCGCGGCUCGCUUGAGGCCUCGACGUCGAGGUGGCCUGCGACUCUCCCGGCGAAUGGAGUCCGUCCGCGCUUGCCAGCUCAGCCUCGCCGAAAAUUCUGUCGGUGUAGCUGUGGAUGCUUCGUCGACACUGGGAUAUCGCGUUCGCAUGGCCAUCGUCGCCGCAUGCGGUGGCAGGCUCUUCCCCGGGACCGGCACAAAACUCGACCGCCCGCCCGGGGUGCUCGAUCGUGUCGUCGGAGCCGCCGCACCUGCGCUCCCACUCGCACCUGUGACGGCGCACCAACGUCGCUUGUGUACAGGAUGGAGCAUGCACGUGAUGAGGUACAGGUGCUCCGAUGGCCGCCAUGUGCAACACGCGUGGCGCCACCGGACACGAUCAAGCACGAACGCGCGCGACGCGAGCCGCCGUCCCGAACCACAGCGCCGCCACGUCCCCCGCUGCUGCUGGUCCAGGUCGGCAGGUCGCCCCCGCUCUCCGCGCCCCACGACUUGGACGCCGGCAGCACGAGUCAACGUCGAGGGUGCCAGGGACGACGACGCUCGUCGGAGCCUCACCGGCAGCUAGCCGGUGCGGUAGCCACGUGCGGCGGACGCGCGCUUCCACUGGGUCCCUGUGCCUUCGCCUCGGGCUGCCGGCGUUCAACUCAUGGGCUGCGGCGGGCGGGGACGACCUCGACCAGUAGCAGCGGGGACGUGGCGGUGGCGCGGCGCGGCUGUGGCUUUGAUAAGGUGUGGCUGUCAUCUCUGAAUAUAGCUGCCAUUAUGGACGGAUCGAAAUGAAUAUAGCUCCUAUGCAGUCUUGCAGAGUAGCUUCAGCUUUCCAGAGGAUCCAUGAGGACCAACAGCUUUCCAGAGUUGCAGAACACAUCUGCGCGCGCACAUAUACGACAAAGGAUUCUGAGGGACAGUAUGCCACAUUGCCUGCCACCGCCACCCAAUUGCAAUGUCUUUUUCUCCUUCUUGGUUUUCUUUCUCCUGCAUUAACACGACAAUAUAAUGCUUUCCAGUUAGAAUAGUCACAGCCAAUUUGGCGUGUACAACUACAAGACCAUUAGUAUUUGGGCAAUUCAUACCUAGUAUUUGGUGGAUGGAUUCGAAUGCUCGUCCAGUCGUAACAGCCUGCUGAAAGCUUCCUCUGUUCCUUGCAUUCUUACUAUGUUCUAUUCCUGGACUCUGUUGUUCGUUCACCUCGUCUACUGGUGCUUCAUCUUCAUCCUGUGCGCGCGCAGGUGAAUAUACAGUUAGAAAUCCAUUUUUACAUGAGUAUAUAUAGACAUACACAGUUAUUAAACCACCGAGUAGGUCGAAGAUGAACUCACCUGUGGACUUGCCCAGGUAUGCGUCAAAUGAAUACGGCUCCUUGGUAUAGUAGAUGUACCACUCGGCAUCUUCAUCUUCGUGCGAUUGGUCGGCUUCCUCUGCUCCUCCUUCUAUCUUGUGUCCAUACGCCUUUACUUGCUGGACAUGCUGGAUCUUUCCCCAUUCGGAGGAUUCAUCUUGUAGUGCUAUCAGUUUGAGCAAGCUUCGGCUGCAAUCUACAUGCAACUUCUUUAGCUUUGCCUCUCGCAAGUAUUCUGGGAGUGCUUCAGCAAUCCAAUCCCACCACUCCACGCUUCGAAGGGAUGGCAAACCAUCCAAUUCCUCUAGUGCUGGGCAAUUGCUAAUGCCAAUCCAUUGCAAGCUUGGGUUGUUGCUGAUCCUUUCCAGCCUUGGGUUGUCAAGCGACCAAAGCUUGACUAUUGAAGGGAAGUUCUCCACGGAGACCAAGAGCUGGAUAUUUCUCAGGUACAACUCUCUCAACCGGCAUGCAUGCUGUGCUAGCCCUGCAGGAAGGCGUUGCAGUUUGCAGUUUCUGAUUAUAAGCUUGUCUAGUGCAGGCAUCGCUAGGACGUGCUGCUCCCACUCCCACUCUGUCCAUCCCAGCAUGCCUACAAAACCCACUCUUGUCAGCUUGGGAAAUGCAACACCAGCACCACGCGAAGUAUGAUGAGGCUGCCUCUUGGCUUGACCACCCAAGGAGGGGAAGAGGAAAUCAUGCCCAACGCACUGGACAGACGGAGCACGCUCGACCCAAAAGUAAUCAAGAAAGGGGAGCUGCCCCAAUCCAUUAGGUAGACGCGUGCAGCAUGCGUAGUCAACUAGCGCUAACCGCCUUAAGCUCCCAAAGGCUGACAUGGUUCUCAUCCACUGCGGUAGCCCGCGUGCAAAGUAGCCACUGAUAUCAAGUAGUUCCAUGCAAGGUGGAGGACACAGAUUAUCCAGGACGUCCUCUGUUCUCCUGUGUUCCUCCUCGCUAAUGUUGCCUUCGACCUCUCCAUUGUCUCCUAGCCUGCUGGUAAAUAUCAAGUCUAAGUUUGUCAAGUGAUGUUUACUGCUAAGGUUUGCUUUAGCAGCCAUAGAACCGGAAGGUGCCUUCUCCAGACAACUUAUUUCAAGGCUUUGGAGCUUCGACAGAGGUCUGAGUUCUUCUAAGCUGCACCAGCCACC